Molecule: transfer RNA, 68 nt
Filed under: Aphelocheirus ellipsoideus
Lineage: Eukaryota; Metazoa; Arthropoda; Insecta; Hemiptera; Aphelocheiridae
Description: tRNA-Arg
Source: RNAcentral
AAGUAAUGAAGUAAAAAUAAUUACAUUUAGUUUCGACCUAAAAUUAGAGUUAUUAAACUCCAUACUUA